RNAcentral lists this ribosomal RNA (513 nucleotides) under uncultured Oscillospiraceae bacterium. RNAcentral's name for it is "partial 16S ribosomal RNA". Lineage: Bacteria; Bacillati; Bacillota; Clostridia; Eubacteriales; Oscillospiraceae. The record is from RNAcentral.
CACGUAGUUAGCCGUGGCUUGCUCCUUAGUUACCGUCAUUAUUCUUCACUAAGAACAGAAGUUUACAAUCCGAAAACCGUCUUCCUUCACGCGGCGUUGCUGCAUCAGGCUUUCGCCCAUUGUGCAAUAUUCCCCACUGCCGCCUCCCGUAGGAGUCUGGGCCGUGUCUCAGUCCCAAUGUGGCCGUUCAACCUCUCAGUCCGGCUACUGAUCGUCGACUUGGUAGGCCGUUACCCCACCAACUAUCUAAUCAGACGCGAGUCCAUCCUUAGGCGCCUCAGCUUUGGUAUAUCUACGAUGCCGUUAAUAUACUUUAUAUGGUAUUACCGUCCGUUUCCAGACGCUAUCCCUUCUAAGGGCAGGUUACUCACGCGUUACUCACCCGUCCGCCACUCAGUCAUAUCAGUAUUUUCCUUUACCGAAAGAAACUUCCAAUUCAAUCAAAGUCUUCGUUCGACUUGCAUGUGUUAGGCACGCCGCAGCGUUCGUCCUGUACGCGAGACUACGAAACUU